RNAcentral lists this long non-coding RNA (5804 nucleotides) under Nicotiana benthamiana. RNAcentral's name for it is "long non-coding RNA (NBEN_LNC004943)". Lineage: Eukaryota; Viridiplantae; Streptophyta; Magnoliopsida; Solanales; Solanaceae. The record is from RNAcentral.
UCCACUGGAAAAACAACCUCAUCAGGGAAUUUCUGCAUAUGGAAGAGAAGCUCCAAUGUCAAUGCAUUCAUCAUCCAACAACACAGCCGCACCGUCUCUGAUUACUCAGGUAUGUUCUGUUACUCUAAGCACACUGAGUCAGUAUUUAAAGAGAAAUGGGUGGGAUUUUGUGUUAAUGCACUUUGUUAAUCUUUUAUUGUUGUUUUACACGAGGAGACUAGUUCAUUAGUUUUGAAAUUAGCUACAGCUUCAACUCUACAUGUCCAUCUUUCUCACCAUUCUGUUGAAAGAAACCAAAAGGCUGGCAGUCAUUCAAUAAAAGACAGGUGGGAAUCACCAAAAAAGGGAAAAUUGCUACACACCCUAUGUGCACUUCAGUAAUAGGUAUCAAAUUGUAUUGGGUGAUAACUUGAUGCAAUCUGGAUGCACUAUAGCGCAGGUUGUCUAGCGAAGCAAGAAAUGCAUAAACGGUAGGGUAGCUUUUGUAGAAUUUUAUUUCCAGGCAGUUCUGUUAACCAUGGGUAGUCGGGCAACUCCUAGCUUUACUUGAGAAGUACUCCCUGCCGGGUUUUUUGGAGUUAGAGAAUCAACACAACUAAUAUUCUGUGCGACUUUGGACAUACAUUUCUUAACUUUGUAAAAAGAAAAUUUGCUUGGUUGGAGAUUUUGUUUAUGUAAGCACAAUAUUCUAUAGUUAAAAUAUUUUUAUUUUUUUUGAGAAAAUUGUAGUUGAAGAAAAUUUUGACUUCCGAAAUACUCCCUCCGGUCCAAAAUAAGUAAUUUUUUGGAUGUUUUCACACAGAUUAAGAAAUUCACCUUUUAGCAUUAAUUAGCAAUGGAAUUGACCAUAUUAACCUUUACUAUCUCAUAUAUAUACUCCUAACACAUAUUCCAACAUUAUUUACUACAAGGACAAUGUAGGAAAAAAAUAAUUAAUUCACUCUUGACAUUUGAAAAAAUCACAUAUUUUGGACCAUUCCUUACACAUAUUCCAACACUAUUUACUCCAAGGACAAUGUAGGGAAAAAAUAAUUAAUUCAUUGUUGAAAUUUGGAAAAAUCACUUAUUUUGGACCAUAAAAAAAGGCCAAAAAAUCACUCUUAGCUGAGAAUUAAGGAUCGCCCUUCAGAAAUAUUUUAGGUUGCAAAAAUAUUGGCAAUUUAUAUGCAAGACAUCCUAAGUAAACCUAAUAUUAUGGUCAUGAUGAAGUGCUAGUAAACAAAUGAGAAAAAGAAAGAUAUUCAUGUGCGAGUUUUUGUUUGUUCUGAGGGCAUAGUUUUGCAGAUUACACAGCAUAUGCAGAUCCCAUUGUCCUAUGCUGAUGCUGUGAUUGGAACAAAUGGUGCGAGCAUAAGCUACAUUCGGCGGGUUAGUGGUGCUACUGUUACAAUACAGGAAACAAGGGGAGUUCCUGGGGAGAUGACUGUUGAGAUCAGUGGAACUGCUUCUCAAGUCCAAACAGCACAACAAUUGGUACAGGUAACAUUCUUGCUUCACUUGUCAUAAGAUUUAAACUCUUUUUUUCCUCUGGUACAUUCUUGCUUCACUUGUCAUAGGAUUUAAACUCUUUUUUCCCUCUGGUAUGUGCAUAUGCAUAUGAGUUUCUGUUGAGGCGGCGCAAAAUGCCAGUCUUUUAUUUUUCCAUUUGACUUUUGGUUUAGCCAAUAUCCGUGCUUCUGAUAUCCUAUCUUGAAAUGUAUUUGUUUAUUCUUCAUUUGUGUGUCGUAGAAUUUCAUGGCAGAUGCAGGGGCGCCUCAGGCACAGACAGCUCCACCAGCUGACCAAGGCUACAACUCCUAUGGAGCUCCUCCUACUUCUAUGUAUUCAUCUGCCCCUACAAAUCCAGGCAUUCCAGGUCAAUCAGGGAGCUAUGGUUCAGUGUAUGGUACAAACUAUGGCUAUUGAGCUGGACCCUUAUGCAUUUCAUUUGGUGAACAAAACUAAUAAUCCUUUCAUCAGAGUGCUUUGUACUGUUGUACCUUCAUUUCGGCCUAGUGACAUGGAACUCCUAUAGGUAGAGAGUAUUGUAUGCAUUGGGCUCGUCACAACGAUGUGUCUACCAAAUGUCUAUUUCAUUUUUCUCCUGAUUUGUCUCACCUUCCUACAUUUUCCAAGACUAAUAUGAUCUUUAACACUGAAUAUUUUCAUAUUUGCUCGGUUAGCUGCCACAGCGCUCAAGGAUUUAAAAAAUUAUGACUCUACAUGGUGUUCGAGGAUGUUUGGCGGGUUCUCUGUUGCAACUAGUAUUGCAGCUGCCUAAACACAAAUAGUUGGGAUUGUAUAACAGUCGUCCUUUCAGAAGUACUUCUCCCUUGGGGCAUUGGGCUGGUCACAGACGAGAAAGAAUAAGUAAUGAGGUUGAGAGUAAAACUAAUGAAACAUGCUCUGCUUUAUGGACUAUUAUUUUUUUUUUCUUUAAAAGCAGCUCCAUAUCGUAGAUGAAACAACAAAGAAAGUUCUUUUACAUUAGUAUCAUAUUAUGAUCUGAUGGAACAAAAUGGCUAUAGUUCUCCAGCGAUUUAAGGCUACAUCGGAUGUAAUACAAUAACAUCUCAUAAACUUUCAAUUGAACCCAACAGUAUAUAGCGUUUGGUAUUAAUGUUUUUUUGUGGAUAAUAACUGUAAAAUAUUACAAUUAACAACCAAAUAAUACACCUAAAAUCUACCUCUUAACUUUUCCUAAUUUACAGAAAACAUGUCGGGUUGAUUUUUCGAAAACAAAUACCUUUUCUUUUACGCCGUUCUUGUUGAAUAUUUUCAAAUACUCAAAUCCAUACUCUGCUAGUGACCUAUACCAAGUCACAAGACAAAUCCAAGGUUUUAGAGUUCAAAUCUCUGUUCUCUCGGGUUUUUUUGCCUUCUUUUUUUGGAAGUAGAGUUUGACACUUAUCUCCCCCGAAGAGAGAAUAAUAUCAAGGAAGCGCAUGUCUACUUGGCCCAUUAUAUUCUACUUUUGCUGAUCCCACAGCUCUCAUACUGUUUUUAGAUGGUGGCCAUAUGGAAUAAUGAAUUCACUCUGCUUGCUAAUUUGGCUGGACCAAGCCCUUAGACAGAGAUAGCAAAAGGCAAUACCCUCCAUGGUCAUAUUCUUCAUUCAAGUUGACCCCAUUGCAUCAACAUAAGCGCGCACACACAAUACAUAAAAAAUAAGUAUUACGAUAAAGGUAAAUUUGAUAAUAAACAAGCUCGUCUUUGCCAACCUAUAACGCAACAGCACCUGUCUUACUUUCUGCACAAUAUCAAAUUUGUCGCAUCUUCACAUUUUAUUCUAUUCAUAACCUGAAUAAAGCAUCACGAAACAGGAGAUGACCAGUUCCCAACCUAGGACUCUUGUUUGGAGCAUACUUUCAUAUUCUGUGAAGACAAAGGGUACAGAAAGAAAGCCAACAAAAGAAAACCUACAUUCAAGUGAUGCUCAAAAUUUGAGUUUAUUGGGCCGUAAUGUAUGACAAAUCAAACCAACAGAAAACCCCAAACCCGUGAAAAUCACACGCAUUUCUCACUUGUUUGAAGGUGCCUUCUCCAGCUUACGAUCGGGCUUAAGGAACGGAUCCUGCAAGUUAACAUUCGAAUAAAACACAUCAAACUAAUGGCCUUCUAUUCACAGAUGAGCAAAUAGUUACUUGGUCUAGCAAUGGCGAUUGGGCAUCUCUUUUAAUAACUUUUCUCCUAUCUCAUUAUUAUACAGAGGCCUAAUCAAGUAAGACAGCAUGGUAAUUGUUCUGAAAAUAAGGUGAGACACAUCAUACAUCCAUAACAAGAAAUGUUUUCUACAUUCACAUGACCUAGGAUUAAUUAAGCUCCCAAUUCUGCUCAUUUAAUAGAUAAAAAAAGAGCAUGGUGCAAUAAGCUCCCGCUAUGCACGGGUCCAGGGAAGGACGCAGCAUUACCCUGCAGAAAAUGCAGAGGCUGUUUUGGUGUUUCCACGGCUCGAAGCCAUGGCCUCCUGGUCACAUGGAAACAACUUUAACAAUUACGCCAAGACACAUUUAACAGAUAUGAGCUGAAAUACUCGAACAAGCUCAAACCAAAUCUGAAUUCAACAACAGAUUUAGUUGAGGUGAAAGGAUUCAGAAGAGGCAGAAAAGUAAGAUACGACCAUUAUUUCAUAAGGAGUAAAAUUGAAGGGGUGGGGCAGGUCUUUCAGCGCCUUUGAAAUAGAAUGUAUACAAAAAUGCAUAUAUUGUUCGAUUCCCUUACACUUGUAUAAAGCAAGUGGAAGCAAAAGUAUAUUAAUGGAAUAUACGACUAUGAUUGUCUCUCUCCUUUACCCACUCCCUCUCAUUCAUGGAGUUGGAACCAAAUGCAGAGCAAAGCUAGAUAAUUUGAGUAGCUCAUUUAUAGCCUCAAUCCCAGUCUAUGAAUUAAAAUAAAUUCUAAAUCCAUUCACCUUCCCAGAUACCACUGUUUUCUUCACACUGAAGACAAGCUAUUAACCAGACGAAAAAGCCACCCCCUGUAGAUUUUCUUUUACAGGUUGAAGAGUUUUUAGGGCUCUGCCAGCAGUUCAGCUUAUAUGUAGACUUGGCACACAAUGAACUAUAAAUGAGGUUCACCUCCACACCUUUGUGUUGUUAAGUUACAUAUAUUGGAUAUGGGUGCUUCCCCCAAAGUAAAGUUUAACACACCCAAGCCCUUUUUUUUUCUUGGAGAAAUUGGGGGNNNNNNNNNNNNNNNNNNNNNNNNNNNNNNNNNNNNNNNNNNNNNNNNNNNNNNNNNNNNNNNNNNNNNNNNNNNGGUGAAGUUCUCGGAUCUAUUACAAUAGUUGUGAGAUUACAGUUUUAUGUGAAAUUCGGUCAAACCAAAAUUUAUCUUUUCCCUUGGGUUGAGAUGCAAAUUCUUCAUUUUGAAAUUACCAAAUUGACUAUAUCGAAAAACCCUAAUCUAAUCCCGAUCUAAAAGAAAUAAUGAAAGAGCCUCAACAAUCAUUCCAAAUAACAGAGAGAAGAUUAGCAUGGCCAAUGGGAAAGGAUGACACGACAUACACUAAUCCAGAAAUGGCUUCACAAAGAAUAACUAGAACAAACAGGAGAGGGAAAAAAAAAUUAAAAUAUGGAGAGAGCUGAGCUUACAUUUUGGACGAAGAUAAAAUUGGCGACGACGAUAGCACCGACGACACCACCGAGAAUAGCUGCGGGGCCUGUCAGCAAACUCCACUUCCUGUGUAUCAUCCUUCUUCCGAUAUUCUCUUCUCCUUCAGCUUCUGCUUCUCUCUCUCUCUCUCUAGCCGUAAGAAACUCUUUAAUCCCAAUUCUAAAAGACUCCAAAAUUAGGGAAGCGGAAAAGGUCCAAUAAUACUAUUGGAUAUAACUCAAUUUUGUCUCCGUUAGUAAACUCCGUCACUAAUAUUCCCGCGUGUAAAAAUUACGUGGGAUAGCCACUAUUUAAAGAUAUUUACUUUUUAUUAAUUAUUUUUAAUGUUGAGCAAAAUUAGUCUAUUAAAAUUAAUAGAAAAAGGCAUAGUUACCCUUUCCUUCCGCUUUUGUAUCAGUCCUCUCCUUUCUGGCUUUUGUUAGCUCUCGUUGUGGGAUUUCCUGCAGAUUGGAGAAUUUUAUGUUUCAUAUGCCCAUUUUGUGCCUGAAGACACAACAGGGACAAUAGAGUAGUUACUCUUUGUUAUCACCAUAUGCUAAGUUUAUAAGUUUCACCAUUUUGUGCCUGAAGACACAAUAGGGAAAAUAGAGUAGUUACUCUUUGUUCUCACCAUAUGCAAAGUUUAUAAGUUUCACAUUUAAUUAAUGGACAGAGAUGAAAUAUCAGCCAAAAAAAAAGGAUUAUGAUUUGAAGAUCUGUUCUACCAUUUG